This is an RNA transcript of Arachis duranensis, 1673 nucleotides long. It is a transcript of the gene named E3 ubiquitin-protein ligase RSL1, with no coding region annotated. The record is from RefSeq and is a predicted model, not a curated record. The transcript is spliced from 4 exons. NCBI's taxonomy places the organism in Eukaryota, Viridiplantae, Streptophyta, Magnoliopsida, Fabales, Fabaceae.
GAAACUAAAAGUGGUGUUAUUGAGUGGCUAUUAGCAGUCACCAAAAAGAUGGGGCGUCGUUAACCUUACAGUUACAGGGGAAACUAUACUCUGCUUGGUACCAACGUCGCACCAAAAUUGAAGGAUCCUUCUCAUUUUUCACUGUUUCGUUAACCCCUUCCCGAAGGAGUCGGCACUCAGAAGUACCUUUUUCACCGUUCCAAUCAAGUCGCACCUUCUUCUCCACUCAGUAUUUCACUCUCACUCUCUUCGUCUUCUUCUUCGUCUCACCAUUCACCGAUGGCAACAGCACAACAAGAAUCAGGAUCAGGAUCAGAAUCAGCCGUUGCAGUUAACGGCGUUGAAGACUCCUACUUCUCAGCUCUCUUUGAUGAUGAAGGUAACCUCGUCCCCAUCUCCGAUGACAAGUACGCUCAUGAAUUGCAGUUACAAGAGACUAUCAUGUCCUCCUUCAUCGCUUCUCAAAGCACCAUCGAAGGCUCAUCGUCAUCAAAAACCGUUCGUUGCCUUCCAUCUUCAUCAACACCGUCGUCAUCACGACCAGUCUUUGUUGUCCCCAAAACCGAGUACAUAGAGCUUCUGGAUGACGACGAAAUGCUUAUCGUAUGUGAGAUUUGUGCAGAAACCAAAGGGACUGAUCAGAUGUUCAGGAACAAGAAAUGUGAUCACUCCUUUUGCUCUGACUGUGUCACCAAGCAUGUGGCCACAAAGAUCCAAGAGAGCUUAACGAUUGUUCCUUGCCCCGGAUUGAACUGCAAGGGCGUGAUGGAGCUUGAUUCCUGCAGGCCCAUGCUCCCAAAAGAGGUUCUUGAUAGGUGGGACGAUGCACUCUGUGAGGCCCUGUUUCUUGCGGUUCCGAAAUUCUAUUGCCCCUUUAGGGACUGUUCUGCAAUGCUGCUUGACGAGAAUGAGGGCGGUGAAGGGAUUAUCAGGGAAGCUGAGUGCCCCUUUUGCCACAGGCUCUUCUGUGCCAGGUGUUGUGUUCCAUGGCACCCUGGGGUUGAGUGUAACGUGUUGCAGUCACUGAAUGAGGAUGAGAGAGGGAGGGAGGAUCUUCUUCUUAGGGACCUUGCUGCUCAAAAGAAAUGGAAUAGGUGUCCCAGAUGCAAGUUCUAUGUGGAGAAGACUGAAGGGUGCUUGCAUAUUACAUGCAGGUGCCGAUUCGAGUUUUGCUAUGCUUGUGGUGAACCUUGGAGUAGCACUCAUGGUGGAUGCCAAAGGAUUAGAUGAUUUUAAGAUGAAAAUUGAUGUGUUCAUGUGGAUAUAUGUGAAAAGGAUGAUUCUCUCGUGACUACCGUUGUAGUGGCUACAUAUCGUUACGUUUUGAUUACAGUGUUGACUGAGGACUAGCAUUUCUUUUGCGAAAUUGGGGUUAAGCCACUGAAGUGGGACUUGCAGCUUACAUUGCAUGCUCGCAACUUCGUGAAGAAACACAUUUCGGACUGCAAGGAAGGGCUUCAUGAUGCCACUUUUGUUGGUAAUAAAUAUGGCCAAAAUUCUGCAUAUCAUCCAGGAUCUGUGUCAGGUGUAGAAGCUGUGGCUGAGUGGCUAAAACACAAAACAAAUUAUGAUUAUAAAUCUAACUCUUGCAUUGAUGGUACCUUUAAUUGUAUUGUUUACGGUCAUAUUAUAUGGCCUGCAACUACUUAUUUAGGUUGUGCUAGAACCAAAUG